GGUGGAAUGGCUGAACAUAGGCAAUAAAUUGUAAAUUUAUUUAUGAAAUAAUUAAUUUCUUCCACCA
Molecule: transfer RNA, 67 nt
Filed under: Orsodacne cerasi
Lineage: Eukaryota; Metazoa; Arthropoda; Insecta; Coleoptera; Orsodacnidae
Description: tRNA-Tyr
Source: RNAcentral